GCACCGAAGUCUUCAAGUACUACACCACUAAAGCACCGGAAGCACAACUUACGAUUCCCCGAGCCACUACACUGACGCCCUGAAGUAUUACUCUGCCCCGAGUUACUACACCACCAAGGCGACGGAGGAUGACUACGCGUGCUGCCCCAUCCUCCGAGGCUCAUACACCGAGGCUCCUAACUGCUACACCGAGGCUCCCGCUGAUUUCUCCACCAAGACGGUCGAAUACUACACCGAAGCGGCAAAGUACUAAUCUGCCCCGAUCUACACAACCACAACUGAGGCGGAGAAGUAUUGCGCAGUCCCUACUUGCUACACCAAAGCUGCGGUUUCGUGCUACGUUGAACAGAAUUACUACACCGAUGCCCCAGUCUACUACACCACGACUUACGCUUCACCUAGCUACAACAACGCAGCCUCAAAGUACUACACCGAAGGAGCCGCCUAUUACACAACUACGUACGCUGCCCUACGUCGACGAAAUUAAGUAUUGCCCUGCUCGAAACUACUACCAAACUUCACAUUUAUUGCAAUUUCCACGACUAUGUCACCACUGCUCCGACCUAUACAUCGAAGUUCUGAAGUAUUUCUGUAUGUGUUGAAAGAUUGCUGAAAUACAAGAUUGAUUGAUAAA
Molecule: long non-coding RNA, 634 nt
Organism: Daphnia pulex (common water flea)
Lineage: Eukaryota; Metazoa; Arthropoda; Branchiopoda; Diplostraca; Daphniidae
Exons: 2
Source: RefSeq, a predicted model, not a curated record